UACGGGGGGGGCAAGCGUUGUUCGGAAUUACUGGGCGUAAAGGGCUCGUAGGCGGCCAACUAAGUCAGACGUGAAAUCCCUCGGCUUAACCGGGGAACUGCGUCUGAUACUGGAUGGCUUGAGUUUGGGAGAGGGAUGCGGAAUUCCCGGUGUAGCGGUGAAAUGCGCAGAUAUCGGGAGGAACACCGGUGGCGAAGGCGGUUCUCUGGGCCUUACCUGACGCUGAGGAGCGAAAGCGUGGGGAGCGAACAGG
This 253-nucleotide ribosomal RNA is filed under the name uncultured bacterium. RNAcentral describes it as "partial 16S ribosomal RNA". It matches the Rfam family "Bacterial small subunit ribosomal RNA", at positions 524 to 776 of the family's 1533-position model. The record is from RNAcentral.